RNAcentral lists this ribosomal RNA (441 nucleotides) under uncultured bacterium. RNAcentral's name for it is "partial 16S ribosomal RNA". It matches the Rfam family "Bacterial small subunit ribosomal RNA", at positions 338 to 795 of the family's 1533-position model. The record is from RNAcentral.
CCUACGGGUGGCAGCAGUGGGGGAUAUUGCACAAUGGGGGAAACCCUGAUGCAGCGACGCCGCGUGGGUGAAGAAGUAUUUCGGUAUGUAAAGCCCUAUCAGCAGGGAAGAAAGAAGACGGUACCUGACUAAGAAGCCCCGGCUAACUACGUGCCAGCAGCCGCGGUAAUACGUAGGGGGAGAGCGUUAUCCGGAUUCACUGGGUGUAAAGGGAGCGUAGACGGCCGUGCAAGCCAGGAGUGAAAGCCCGGGGCCCAACCCCGGGACGGCUCUUGAAACUGUGCGGCUGGAGUGCGGGAGGGGGAGGCGGAAUUCCUGGUGUAGCGGUGAAAUGCGUAGAUAUCAGGAGGAACACCGGCGGCGAAGGCGGCGUACUGGACCGCGACUGACGUUGAGGCUCGAAAGCGUGGGGAGCGAACAGGAUUAGAUACCCUGGUAGUC